Plutella xylostella (diamondback moth) is the source of this 318-nucleotide non-coding RNA. NCBI's taxonomy places the organism in Eukaryota, Metazoa, Arthropoda, Insecta, Lepidoptera, Plutellidae. The record is from RefSeq and is a predicted model, not a curated record.
AUACAAGGUGUUGCAAAAUUGGUAUAGGGGAGACCGGGGACAAAAGUAACAGCGGGUAGAAAGUAACAAAGACUCUGUGGACUUCCCCAAUAGCCUUAACGUCCCAAGCUACAGCUGGUAGUCAGCAUGCGAUGCCCCCCGCGCAUGAUAUCAUUUUCCGCGCCCGUGCCGCGGUGCAAGAUUGUUUUAGUGAGCAUUUCGUGAUUUUACACACCCAAAGUAAGUUUUUUGGUGUUUAUUCAUUUAGUGUUUACGUAGAAUUAAGAUGCCAAGAACCAUAUGACUAUUUGUUCAUUGAUUCAUUAUAAGAUUGUCUGU